This 402-nucleotide ribosomal RNA is filed under the name bacterium. Its description in RNAcentral is "partial 16S ribosomal RNA". It matches the Rfam family "Bacterial small subunit ribosomal RNA", at positions 355 to 776 of the family's 1533-position model. The record is from RNAcentral.
UGGGGAAUUUUGCACAAUGGGGGAAACCCUGAUGCAGCGACGCCGCGUGAUUUAGAAGGCCUUCGGGUUGUAAAAAUCUUUUCUCUGGGAAGAAAAUGACAGUACCAUAGGAAUAAGGACCGGCUAAUUACGUGCCAGCAGCCGCGGUAAUACGUAAGGUCCGAGCGUUGUCCGGAAUCAUUGGGCGUAAAGGGUACGUAGGCGGGUAAGCAAGUUAGAAGUGAAAUCCUAUAGCUCAACUAUAGUAAGCUUUUAAAACUGCUCAUCUUGAGGUAUGGAAGGGAAAGUGGAAUUCCUAGUGUAGCGGUGAAAUGCGCAGAUAUUAGGAGGAAUACCGGUGGCGAAGGCGACUUUCUGGCCAUAACCUGACGCUGAGGUACGAAAGCGUGGGUAGCAAACAGG